This 408-nucleotide ribosomal RNA is filed under the name uncultured bacterium. RNAcentral's name for it is "partial 16S ribosomal RNA". It matches the Rfam family "Bacterial small subunit ribosomal RNA", at positions 28 to 526 of the family's 1533-position model. The record is from RNAcentral.
GACGAACGCUGGCGGCGUGCCUAAUACAUGCAAGUCGACCUUAGUGGCGAACGGGUGAGUAACACGUGGGUAACCUGCCCAUCAGAAGGGGAUACCCUUUGGAACAAGGUGCUAUUACCGAAUAUGGAAGGAUGGACCCGCGGUGCAUUGGCUAGUUGGUGGGGUACGGGCGCACAAAGGCCACGAUGCAUAGCCGACCUGAGAGGGUGAUCGGCCACAUUGGGACUGAGACACGGCCCAAACUCCUACGGGAGGCAGCAGUAGGGAAUUGUCGGCAAUGGACGAAAGUCUUACCGAGCAACGCCGCGUGAGUGAAGAAGGUUUUCGGAUCGUAAAACUCUGUUGUUAGAGAAGCGGUAUCUAACCAGAAAGCCACGGCUAACUACGUGCCAGCAGCCGCGGUAAUUC